Molecule: long non-coding RNA, 2453 nt
Organism: Monodelphis domestica (gray short-tailed opossum)
Lineage: Eukaryota; Metazoa; Chordata; Mammalia; Didelphimorphia; Didelphidae
Source: RefSeq, a predicted model, not a curated record
CUUGUGACUAGCACUUCCUUCCUGCCCUGUGGGACUUGCUUCUGGGUAUUGGAGGAGAGAGGAGCUUGUUCAGCCCAGUCUGGAGUGGCAUACUCUUCUUGGUUCAGCCCAAAGUGAAGAUUUCCCAGUGACAUGGCUGGGGGCCCUAAUGGCAGCCUCAUAAUAGCAAGCUACAUGGAGCAUUGAAGAAAGUCAUGAUCAGAAACCUCAUCAUCCUGAAAGAUUGCCUCAGCCUUGGUACUCACAUCUCAUCAGUAUCCUCUACUCCUAUGAUUGGAUGAUGUAAUAAAGAGCACCACCCAGAAACAUCAUUAAAGGAGAGAUUCCAGGCAAGCCAUCUACUCAUGUCUCUUUCAGCUGUACUCCUUUGGAGUACUCACCAUCUCAUGUUUCUGCUCCAAGUAGCUCCCACUCUCUCCCCUUGCUUUUCAACUUCCUUUUCUGUGUAAGAUUGUAAGCUUCUUGAAUAGAGGAACUAUCUUUCUUUUUAUUUUUUGUAUCCCCAGAAUUUAGCACAAUGUUUGGCAUAUAGUAGGUACUUAAUAAAUCUUUAUUGACUGAGUACACUUUAAGUUUUUGGCCUUGGAAAAGAAAAGAAUCACCAUAGUGAAGGAAAUGACUAUGGGAAAGGAUUUUUAAAUAAUAUCAUAUGAGGAAGAAAGGAGUUUCCUUUGAAUAUCCUAAAUUUUAAACAAAUAAACUGAGGUGAAGUUCUGAGCUAAGAGUGGAGUCAUCAUGGGAACCUUAAGGAGGGACAAAAAGAUUUAGCAAAUUCACUGUGGAAAGUGAAAUAGCAAAUGAAAUGCUUGCCUUUCCUGCAGUGAGGGUCCAGCUGAUAAUAGAAAACAUGAAUCUCUAGCAUUCCCAUUUAGCAUUUUUUCAUGAUUUCCUCAAGCUCCAUUCUUGGGCAUUUUAAAAGAGUUGGAUAAUGGGAGCAAAGCAGCAUUGUAGAUUAGAAAGAUGGAAUCAACAAUAAGAUAAGGGGGCAAAGAAACUGAAAGUAGAGAAUAGAGUUGAGUUGGUUCACUGAAGGAUUAAGAUAGGGAAAAUAGGAGAGUGUGUACCAAGUGUGCAGAUAAUAGCCUGUAGUAAGUACCAAGAGGCAGAAGGAAUAGGUAUUACCAUGAGGAUGAAGAAUGUGUUUAGGAAUCACUAAGAGUACAAAAUAAGGAAUGAGAAAAGAUGAUGAUCAGAUAAAAAGGACUUCAGGGGUUCAUGAACAUAGAUUUAGAACAUUUAUGGGCAAAUAUCACUUUGUAAAAUUAGUUUCUGACAGACUGCUUUCUAUAUUUCAUAGUUAUUUCCUGUGGGAAAUUCUUCCGGGAAUAAUUUAUGUUUUGAAGUAUAUCAAGCACUGGAUUCCUAUUUUAUAUUGCUUCAAAUUAUUGAUUAUUCUGUUCCACGGAUUAACAUUUCUAUUUUACAACCAGAAGAAAAUUAUUUAGAUAAUAUCAAUUUAUCAUAUGAUUUUUACUUUUUCAAAUAAAUUUUUAUAUUAUUUUUUCUAUUUCUUUAAAACAUCAUCUUGGUGAGUUGAUUUACAAAGCACUAAGUUUUAAAUGAAUUUAGAAAGUAUCACAUUUUCCAUUGUUUUACCAUAGACCAACAAUGAACAAUAGUCAUCUCAUAGUAUUUGAAAUAUUUUGUUUCUGGAAAGAGUAAUUUGCAUUUUUAUAAACCUGCAUAAGACCUGGUAGGUUAGAGCAAAGUUAUUUUAGAUUAUUUUUUUAUUAUUGGAAUGAAAUUCUCCUUAUAGUCAUUCCCUUCUUGUUUUGUUUUAUUUUGAUUCUGAUCAUUUCUAUGGAUUUAUUUUGUAUAUAUCAAUUUUGCUAAAGCUUGUAUUCAUCUCUAUUAAGUUUCUUCCCUUUUUCUGGGAGUUGCUAAACAAAUCAUCAAGUUAUCUUCAACUAAGGUUAAUUUUUCUUCCCUUUAUCAAUGAUUAUGUUUAAUUUUAAACUCUCAUUAUAGCGUUAUAGCAAACAUUUUUAGAACUACUUCAUAUAAUAGGGAGAGUGAAACCUUUCUUAAUCUCAUUUGUGAUUAAAAGGAAAGGGAAAACAAAACAAAAACUUCCUAGUGCUUGUCCACUGUAAAUAAUAUUAGAUUGACUGAUUUCAAUUUUAGUUAUAUGCUUUUGGUCAUAUUAAAUAAACAACUUUUCAUGUCAAUAACUUUUUUGAAGGACUAUGGGAAUACUGAUAUUUUGUAAAAAUGAUCUUUUCCUGUAUCAAUUGACAAAAUUAUAUGUUCUUUGUUGGGUUUCAGAUUACAUAUGAAUUAUAAUAUUUGUCUUUUUAAAUGAUGAGUCUUUAUUAUAACACUCCUAUGAACUCUGAUUCCAUAUUAUUUUCUGAAUGUGUUGUUGUAGUUGCCUUUUGUUCUUUUAGUGAAAACUUUUUAAUUAAUAUGUCCAUUAGUAAAAUUAAUAUAUAGUCUUUUUUUCUUCUAUCUUU